This is a long non-coding RNA of Takifugu rubripes (torafugu), 2112 nucleotides long. NCBI's taxonomy places the organism in Eukaryota, Metazoa, Chordata, Actinopteri, Tetraodontiformes, Tetraodontidae. The record is from Ensembl.
ACAGCCACAUCAGCUGACAUGUCAUCAUCCAUCAACUGCCAGCAAACAAUUUCACUGUUUUGUCAUUUACACCAAAUAAUAAAGAUCCGACCCUGAGUCCUAUGCUUUAUUUGUUGAAAAUACAUUUAUUAAUGUCAAAAGCAAAAUUCAGGUUUUAUGUAUAUGUUGUCUCUUAAAACAAUGAAAAUCGGGGAAGCAUCAGCCGAAAUAACAAGAUUGGAUCUAAAUACGAGCAUCCAAGGACACGGAAGUCCCGGGGGCAGGCUAAUACCUCGUGCACGUUUCCCUCAAGCACGCUUUUAUGACUAUCUCCACCCGGAUGCAGAGGUAAAAAAGGUUUAUCCACGCUAUCUGUUGUACCCUUUCCAUAGUGGUCUCAUUGUAACCGCGCUGCAUUCUGGGGGCAUCCGUGUGAUACCUGCCGCCCAGUUCAGGUGAACGGGAGGCGGUGAAAGUCCUCCGCAUCCGACCCGCUCAGGUCGAAUUUCUGCGCCUUUUUUCUCUCCAAAGAAUGCGCCAGUGGGGGUUUCCUCACUCCACCGGUUCUAUGCCCGAGGUAUUGUUGCAUAUCGACUCUCCAGAGCUGAGCUGGACGGUGCCAUGAGGACUCAACCCGAAAGGAAAGCCUGUGAAGUGUACUGCAUCUCCGGGAAUGGACCGUCUGGUAGCUCUGCUGCGCAGAGAGAGGUGGAGUCGGGGACCUCUCGGUGUGGAAACCCCUCCAAGGAGCCUAAAGAUGAUGUGAAGCAGAAGGUGGCGGCUUGCGGCUCCUGGAGGAGGCGGACGUUGGCUGCUCUGGCGUUCGUUCCAUUUGCUGCGACAGUUGUACUGAGCAUCCACUUGAUAUGUGAGUACAAACAUGUUUGGCAAUUUCAUUCUUUUCCCAAACCUCUCCUCUUCCAAAUCCCUUUAGUUUGAUGUGUUCUGAUGGCCACAUCUACCACCUUUCCAGCCCCCCCUCCCUCCACAGUGUUCUUCCUUGGUGGCAGCGUGGAGUUCCCAAACCUGAGCUUCUCCUCGGAGCUUGCUGACUCCACCUCCCCUCAGUUCCGCCUGCAGGCUCAGGCUUUGAACGAUUAUGUAAGUGGAACCCCCCCCCUUACCCCCCCACCCCCGUCCCCCCUCGGUGAGACCCUCCAUCUUUAAGCCUGAUGUUUCCACUCUGACUUUGGAAGUGGUUUCUUCUGUGGUUCCCUUCCACGUUAUCCAUCCCCAAGCGUUUAUUUUUUAUUGUUCUUUUCUUUUGUCUUCUUUGUCCCGUCUCUCGCUGUUUUCCUCAGCUUCUCUGUCCAGCUCUGUCUGUACUGGUGUUAAAUGUAAAGCUGAAACAGGACACGGCACAGUGUGUGUGUGCAUGUGCGCGAGUUUCCCCGACCCCGUGGGACAGGCCCCUUUCAGAACCGAGGACAAGCCCGGCGUUUGUGAGUCCGGCGAGCCCCGGUCAGUGAGAGCGAGAGGAAGAGCAGACCUUCAAUAAAAACAUUGUCUGUCUAGCGUGGAGACAAUCCGCCGCUCUGUAUGCUGCGAGUGGAGGAGAGGUGCGGUUUGAUGCUGGUGUUGAAGGGGAGAGAGAGGGCAGUAGGGCAUGCUGGGAUGACAGGUUGUACAACUGAGAUGGUGGUGGAGCAAAGUGAACGCCAACGCUGCUGCACGUUCGCAUUAAAAGCCGGAAAACAGGAGGAAUCAAAGACAGCAGUCCCGCUCCUUUGAUCGGCUCUGAGGCCGAGCUGUCGGGCUUGUUAUGCGGUCACUAUAUCUGUCUGGCCACCUGUCCAUUAGAGGAAAGGUGAACUCAAGGCCGGGAGCCCAUACCACCCAGAGCCUCACCUCUACACAGCCAGCGGUCAGAGGCACAAUGGAGCUCUGUGCGACUCAGUCAACAUAUACGCACAGCGGCGUUUCAAACAUGCAUGUGAUCAUGCUGUAAUACUCUGAGCAUGUUGCUAAUUAUCCUUUGACAGUUUGCAGAACUCUAUGAGUCGUCACCGUGGAGCUGUUACCAUCUGCACUCAGGAAUUACGGCCUUCAGGUAGGCUCAGCCAAUUAUGGAUCAAUCUCAAUACCUGAUAAUUCCGCAUGCAACAACGCUAGCUGCAUGGCCACGAACGACAA